Perca fluviatilis (European perch) is the source of this 514-nucleotide long non-coding RNA. RefSeq lists it as uncharacterized. The record is from RefSeq and is a predicted model, not a curated record. NCBI's taxonomy places the organism in Eukaryota, Metazoa, Chordata, Actinopteri, Perciformes, Percidae. The transcript is spliced from 3 exons.
GUUGCCUGUUCCUGGCCAGCUCACCUGUCGUGCCUUUGUUGGAUUUGUUUGCCUGUUCACACUGCCAUCCUGUUGCCAACCAUGAAAGCCCGUUCCUGACCAUCAAGUGGAUAAACUGCAUGCUCAUCUAAUAAUCACUUCAAAAAAAGGGAUACCAAAUGGAAGCGAAGAAAAAGACAUGCUGCUGUGGUGCUGAUCCGCCAGAACUACGUCCACAUAGACGUUAUAGUGAGCAGACGGAUCCAGAACGCUGAUGUUGAAGCUCAGGAAGGGGAACAUCCUCCUGGAGAAACACACAGGGAUAAACAUAAUUAAUAAUUUUUCGAAUAUCAUUUUGUCUGCAUGUAUCUUUAUUUAUUUUUUGGGAAUUGCAUCAUCUUAUGGCUAAAAUUAGCAGGCCUCGACAUUUCAAUAUUUUUUUGUGUUGCCUCAAAUGUUAAAGUUGACAGUUGUUAAACACAAUACAGCUGAUGGAAAUGUAAAAAAUAAAUUUACUAAAAAUGUGAAUAGCUGA